RNAcentral lists this unclassified non-coding RNA (825 nucleotides) under Hevea brasiliensis (rubber tree). Lineage: Eukaryota; Viridiplantae; Streptophyta; Magnoliopsida; Malpighiales; Euphorbiaceae. The record is from RNAcentral.
AAUAAAUAAAUAAAUAAAAUGAAAAAAAGUUUUUGCACAUAGGAAAAUUUUAAAGGGGAAGAGGGUAUUAUGGAUAGAAACUAAGGUAUCUAAAUUACCUAGACUAAAACAAGACUCUAAAAUCUGAUAGAAGCUAAGCAAAACCUGAAUGCUAAAUCCUAAAGAACCACCCAAAAUCGCCUCUUGUCUCUUGAUACUCAAGUAAAAUCGUAAGCCUUUUACAUGAGAAGUUGACCUUCAAUUCAUAUUGCAUUAACCCUAGGAUACCAUAAUAAAAGCUAUAAAGGCAAGAAUGGCAUAGGUGAUCAAUGCCAUCAACUCAUAAUCUAAAAUAAAAUUGAUUCCUUUAACACAGGCUCCCUCCUCUAAAGUUUCACCGAAAUACCUGGACUAUUAAGGGUAUCCUUAAAUGCUGCAAGCAGGAAUUAUAUAUAACUCAAUUUCAACCCCUCUAUUGUUCCUGCAUUGCUUGCAGCCCUAAUGAAGCACACAAGUAAUUGUGCAUUUCCACUGAAUUCAGUAAUAAUCAAACCAUCUCAAUGGCAUUUUCACUCUCCUAAAAGUGAUAGAAAGCCUUAAAAUGCUAAAAAUUGUCUAUAAAUGUAUUAACUAGUACAUUAAUUAUUUCAAAAGAAUACACUUCUUAUUCAAUAACAAUCAAAUCAUCACCAUGACAUUCUUACCUCACAGUAGUGAUAGAUAAAAGGGCCAAAAUUACUACUGUGGAUGCAUUACUCUGCAACUCGGGUACAUAAUACAUUAAGGAGUUCAAAAAUUCCACUUCCUACUAAGAACUACAUAUCUUGGAGGUGAAAAAAAAAAAAA